This 46-nucleotide non-coding RNA is filed under the name Paramuricea clavata. It matches the Rfam family "Histone 3' UTR stem-loop". From Rfam's summary of the family: The mRNAs of metazoan histone genes lack a poly-A tail. The record is from RNAcentral. Lineage: Eukaryota; Metazoa; Cnidaria; Anthozoa; Malacalcyonacea; Plexauridae.
AAACCGGUUCUUUUAAGAACCACCAAAUCUAUAAAAGAAUCAAACG